CUCUCUCUCUCUCUCUCUAUUUUUUUGCAUGUCCUAAAUAGCAUCAGUGAGUAGCUCUAACCCUCUGAGUUCAACGAGUGGAUCAGAUACGAGGAUUUCAACGAGGAUGGUUGCCAACUGGUGGAGUUGUGGUGAUGGUGAUGGUGAUGCCAAAUGGAGAGGGUGGAAGCAGAGGUUUUGAUGGGCUCGGCAGUUGUGUGCCGCAGAGUUGUGGCAGCCAGUUGAAGAUGUGGUGAUGGUGAUUUGCUGUUGAAUCUCAGCAGGCUCGAAGAUGAGUAGGGUAUGGGUAGAUUGGGUUGUGGUGGAUUGUUCCUCUUUCCUUUUCUUUUUCUUCUUGUAAGGAAAAAAAUAAAAAUAAAACAUUCCUCCUAUAUUUCAUGCAUGCUAACUGUUUGAUGAAAUGGCUCAACAAGGAAUGUUUCAUGUUGUUAUUUUAUUUACUGGAUAAGGAGUGCCAUAGUUGCUUA
Molecule: long non-coding RNA, 467 nt
Organism: Magnolia sinica
Lineage: Eukaryota; Viridiplantae; Streptophyta; Magnoliopsida; Magnoliales; Magnoliaceae
Exons: 2
Source: RefSeq, a predicted model, not a curated record